Molecule: transfer RNA, 73 nt
Filed under: Rhodoferax sp.
Lineage: Bacteria; Pseudomonadati; Pseudomonadota; Betaproteobacteria; Burkholderiales; Comamonadaceae
Also listed under: 1 other name
Rfam family: tRNA
About the family: Transfer RNA (tRNA) molecules are approximately 80 nucleotides in length. Their secondary structure includes four short double-helical elements and three loops (D, anti-codon, and T loops). Further hydrogen bonds mediate the characteristic L-shaped molecular structure. tRNAs have two regions of fundamental functional importance: the anti-codon, which is responsible for specific mRNA codon recognition, and the 3' end, to which the tRNAs corresponding amino acid is attached (by aminoacyl-tRNA synthetases). tRNAs cope with the degeneracy of the genetic code in two manners: having more than one tRNA (with a specific anti-codon) for a particular amino acid; and 'wobble' base-pairing, i.e. permitting non-standard base-pairing at the 3rd anti-codon position.
Source: Rfam by way of RNAcentral
GGGGGUAUAGCUCAGUUGGUAGAGCGCUUGCAUGGCAUGCAAGAGGUCAGCGGUUCGACUCCGCUUACCUCCA